RNAcentral lists this ribosomal RNA (440 nucleotides) under uncultured bacterium. RNAcentral's name for it is "partial 16S ribosomal RNA". It matches the Rfam family "Bacterial small subunit ribosomal RNA", at positions 339 to 795 of the family's 1533-position model. The record is from RNAcentral.
CUACGGGCUGCAGCAGUGAGGAAUAUUGCACAAUGGGGGGAACCCUGAUGCAGCAACGCCGCGUGGAGGAUGACGCAUUUCGGUGUGUAAACUCCUUUUAUAUGUCGAGAAAAUGACGGUAGCAUAUGAAUAAGCACCGGCUAACUCCAGUGCCAGCAGCCGCGGUAAUACGGAGGGUGCAAGCGUUACUCGGAAUCACUGGGCGUAAAGGACGCGUAGGCGGGUUGGAAAGUCAGGUGUGAAAUCCUACAGCUUAACUGUAGAACUGCACUUGAAACUUCUAAUCUAGAGUAUGGGAGGGGAAGAUGGAAUUAGUGGUGUAGGGGUAAAAUCCGUAGAUAUCACUAGGAAUACCUAAAGCGAAGGCGAUCUCCUGGAACAUUACUGACGCUAAGGCGUGAAAGCGUGGGGAGCAAACAGGAUUAGAUACCCCCGUAGUC